AUCCAGUUGACGAGUCCCGAAUAGGACGAAACGCACGUCUUGGAU
RNAcentral lists this non-coding RNA (45 nucleotides) under Schistosoma mansoni. The record is from RNAcentral. Lineage: Eukaryota; Metazoa; Platyhelminthes; Trematoda; Strigeidida; Schistosomatidae.